GGGAUAUUGCACAAUGGGCGGAAGCCUGAUGCAGCGACGCCGCGUGAAGGAAAAAGUAUUUCGGUAUGUAAACUUCUAUCAGCGGGGAAGAAGAUGACGGUACCCGACUAAGAAGCCCCGGCUAACUACGUGCCAGCAGCCGCGGUAAUACGUAGGGGGCAAGCGUUAUCCGGAUUUACUGGGUGUAAAGGGAGCGUAGACGGCAGGGCAAGUCCGAUGUGAAAACCCGGGGCUCAACCGCGGGAUUGCAUUGGAAACUGCUCGGCUCGAGUACUGGAGGGGUAAGCGGAAUUCCUAGUGUAGCGGUGAAAUGCGUAGAUAUUAGGAGGAACACCGGCGGCGAAGGCGGCUUACUGGACAGUAACUGACGUUGAGGCUCGAAAGCGUGGGGAGCAAACA
This 399-nucleotide ribosomal RNA is filed under the name uncultured bacterium. RNAcentral describes it as "bacterial SSU rRNA". It matches the Rfam family "Bacterial small subunit ribosomal RNA", at positions 358 to 774 of the family's 1533-position model. The record is from RNAcentral.